Molecule: ribosomal RNA, 494 nt
Filed under: uncultured bacterium
Lineage: Bacteria
Description: partial 16S ribosomal RNA
Rfam family: Bacterial small subunit ribosomal RNA
Source: RNAcentral
GACGAACGCUGGCGGCGCGCUUAACACAUGCAAGUCGAACGGAAAGGCCUGCUUUCCCUUGUGGAUUGCGGGUACUCGAGUGGCGAACGGGUGAGUAACACGUGAGUGAUCUGCCCCCAACUUGGGUAUAAGCCUGGGAAACUGGGUCUAAUUCCCGAUAGGGCUGCAGGGUGGUGCCUGUGGUGGAAAACGAUUUUCUAGUGGUUGGGGAUGAGCUCGCGGCCUAUCAGCUUGUUGGUGGGGUAAUGGCCUACCAAGGCGGCGACGGGUAGCCGGCCUGAGAGGGUGGACGGCCACAUUGGGACUGAGAUACGGCCCAGACUCCUACGGGAGGCAGCAGUGGGGAAUAUUGCACAAUGGGCGGAAGCCUGAUGCAGCGACGCCGCGUGGGGGAUGACGGCCUUCGGGUGGUAAACUCCUUUCGACCGCGAGGAAGCCACCUGGUUGGAAGGGUGGUGACGGUAGUGGUAGAAGAAGCACCGGCUAACUACGUG